CGCUAAUAGGGUCUAAUAGUAGUAAUAAUACCCAUACCUAAAACAUCUUUGUAUAAAAACAAACACAUUUGAAAAAGUAGUCGAUAAACCAGUCAAACACCGAUAGAUUAUUAAUAUGUUGUAACAUGACAUCACAAUUUUUUAUCUCACAUAGAUCAUUUACGCACACAUUUGAAUUUAAUUUACAGUACAUAUGGGGCUACUUUAUAGCACUAGUGCGAGAAGUAGCAUAUUAUGUUACUGUGUCGAACAUUUAAAGGGCCAUAUGUACUGUAAAACGUUGUACGAUACAUGUGCGAAUAGGUAAUUCGCAACUCGUGUCGAUUUAAAACACUCCCUUCGGUCGUGUUUUAAUUUAUCGCCACUCGUUUCGAAUUUCCUAUUUUUCGCACUUGUAUCGUAAUGUACUAUUCUGGUCGCACUUUUGAAGUUUGACAGUCGUUCUUUUACAUCCUAUUUCUAUGGUUUUCAUUUACCUCCAUUUGACGUUUGUCUUUUAACUAGUUUGCAUAAAAAUAUUUUUGUUGUCCUAAACUAACUAUAGCAAAAGUUUCGUGUGAAAUGAGCGAUAAAGAUAUUUUGGAGACGCCACCUCAUAUUCGCAAUGUUGUAUUAUUUGUAUUGUUUCUGUAUUGAGGUGUGCAAUAAAGCGUAUCUGUAUUGUAUUGUAUUCCCAAAUGUCGGCUGUAAUAUGAGGUUAGUGAAUAUAUCAUAGAAAGUUUAUAAUAUGGUUGUAGAUAAAAUAGUGUAUGUAACUGUACAUAAUUAGGAAUUAAAACACUCGUGUGGUCCUUUCAAGAAACUCACUUCGUUCGUUUCUUAAACCCACACUAGUAGUAGCAAGUGAGACCCCAUAUGGAGUAUUGCUGUCACCUUUGGGCAGGAGCACCUGGAUGCCAGCUUGGGCCCUUCGACUCAGUUCAAAGACGUGCUGUACGAAUCGUCGACGAUCCCAAACUCACAAGCGGUAUUGAACCUUUAAGUCUAAGGAGAGACUUUGCCUCCUUAUGUGUGUUCUACCGCUUGUACAAUGGGCUGUGCUCUGAAGAAUUGUUUGACAUGAUGCCCACGGCUACUUUCUAUCACCGCACUGCCCGCCGUCGGCAGGGUGUUCAUCCUCACACCCUAGAACCUAAAUGGUCACGCGCUGUGCGGUUUAAGAGGAACUUCCUCCCGCGCACGCUCCGGUUGUGGAAUGAGCUACCUGCCGAGGUUUUCCCGAGGGUCUACAGUAUGAGGUUCUUCAAAAAAGGAGUGUACAGAUUUUUAAAGGGUCGGCAACGCGCAUGUAACACCUCUGGAGUUGCAGGCGUCCAUAGGCUACGGUGACUGCUUACCAUCAGGCGGGCCGUAUGCUUGCUUGCCACCGUCGUGGUAUGAAAAAAAAAAGUAUUUAAAUGCCUCUCAUUAAUGCAGUAGACACAUAAACUACUAUUACAGGUCUUAAGACAAACAUGCAUUAUAAACAUUCUGGCAUCUUCUUUAAUAGUUUGAAGCGUUGCGACAAUAUCACAUUACUAGCAUAUGAAAUAUUGUGUUUAAAACCUGUGAAAAAGCAGCAGUCGCACACACCUUAUUGUAACUAACGUUAGGCAUUUCUUUUAGGAAUUAGAAAUCGUCUAAAGUCCCUAUCCGUCCGUCUAAACUCUUUUGACGUGAUAGGUUUUCAUUAAAGUUUAAAAUAAAUAAAUAUUAUAGGACAUUAUUACACAAAUUGACUAGUCCCACAGUAAGCUCAAUAAGGCUUGUGUUGUAGGUAUGUACCUAGACAACGAUAUAUAUAAUACAUAUAUCAUUAUAAAUACAUAGAAACACCCAUGACUCAGGAACAAAUAUCCAUGCUCAUCACACGAAUACAUGCCCUUACCAGGAUUUGAACACGGGACCAUCAGCUUCGUAGGCGGGCUUACUACCCGCUAGGCCAAACCGAUCGUCAAAUCAUCGUCAAAAAUAGGGCUUAUUUUGAGAACUCUAUUAUAAGUACAUGUUUUAUAACAAAUUCAUUUUUAUAGUUAUGAGAAUGCAUGCUAAAUAAUUGCGAAAAUACAGAACUUGAAGUACCUACUGUUGACGGAAAAAUAUUUUACAUUAUUCAAAUAGCCCCUACCUACGGUUGUAAGUCAUCGUUACAGAUAUGUUUUAAAAUGCCAAUAUCAAAGAGACAAUAAACAUUGAAGCAAUCCUCGACAUGAUUUGUAUAAAAUAACGCGUGCUUUACGAGGCUCUGUCCGUAUCCGUUCCAUUCCCCGAUAACAUAUCAUUCGCUGCGCAUAUUGUAUCGACGUCUCAAGGCGGGACAUGAAAUAUUCAGGUCUUAUACACCCCAGCAUACAUCCUCCGUCUAUACCUUCUCGUAGGGUAAGUUCCGACUACAUAUUUCGGCAAUCAUCUGUUAUUUCGGUGAGACGUAGUUUAUUCGAAAGCUUAGGCCUUGGCUCGACGCUCAUGGAUUGAUAGGCAAACAUUGGAUCGAUUUAAGUGCUCAGGAAACAUAAUAUUUUGUACGCCGAGAAGAAAAGCAUUAAGGGCUACUUUAUACAUUCCAUAUUUAACAUCUCUAAAUAUGUUAGUUUUCUAAUGUUCCACAAAUAAAUUAUCUUUAUAUACUCGUAUAUUUUCAUCAGAGUCAAAUAGCAAAAGAUAACUGGAAGAAAUUGAUUAUCAAACGAGUACAAUAUGAGCGUCAUGUGACUGUUUUAUCGAAAUCUUAAGAAGAAAGUCGGCGACCGCGCGCUACCGCGUCCUCAUACAAACGUUGUCCUCUUUUUCCUCACCGGAUAUUAACAUUAUAGAAAAUGUUUUUACACAGUUUGAUGUAUACUAACCAUAGUUUGUAUAGGGGACGGUCGCCGUCCCCUAUACUAACUAUGGUUAGUAUACAUCAAGAUCUAAUUCCCAAAAUCGUGAAUUACCAAAAUAAAAUCGAAAAUGAAUGAAAUAAAACAGGUCCAAAAAUCUGAAGGCGUAUCUUAGACUAUAUGAAUACGUACACCCUUCCACGCUCGCCACGACACGGUAUAUGACUUCCAAAAGCAAUGUACCGUAACGUUCGCCAAAGGGGCUAAUAAAUUCGCUUACCCUCUAAAUAAUAAUAGCACAAAAUAAAUAAAUUCAAUAAAGCUAUUUUAGAAUUAUUUACGCGUGAAAAGAUAUUUAGGUACUCGAGCUUGAGGCAUGGAAAAAAAAAAGUCUCUUCUUCCUCGCGUUGUCCCGGCAUUUUGCCACGGCUCAUGGGAGCCUGGGGUCCGCUUGGCAACUAAUCCCGAGAGAUAGCGUAGGCACUAGUUUUUACGAAAGCCACUGCCAUCUGACCUUCCAACCCAGAGGGUAAACUAGACCUUAUUUGGGAUUAGUCCGGUUUCCUCACGAUAUUUUCCUUCACCGAAAAGCGACUGGUAGGUAAAUAUCAAAUGAUAUUUCGUACAUAAGUUUAGUUCCGAAAAACUCAUUGGUACGAGCCGGGGUUUGAACCCGCGACAUCCGGAUUGCAAGUCGCACGCUCUUACCGCUAGGCCACCAGUGCUGUUUGGAAACAAAAAAGUAUUUGUGACAAUUAUAUAUAUUCACAAGUUGCAGUUGUUUCUGGGACCUGGAGCAGAUGUUAGAGGCAUAAUUCAGAACAAAGCCUAGAUAUCUGUCAUCUGAGUGUCGGGGGGCACGCCUGAGAUAUGCGGCCAUUCAAUAAAGUCAAUGCAGUGUUCCACCCACAAUGGACAGGUUAAUACAAUACAAAGAUAAACUCCUGCUGUUACUGGGAUGGUGAAAACUACUUACUUAUGUCUUUGUAUAUUAAUACACGUAUCCACUUUUACUUGGAAAUUACGUAAUGUCGUAACUACAUUCUUCCCUGGCAACUUUAUUAAUUUCACAGGUGUACCUCUUACACCAUUCUAUUAAUAGUUUGUUAGUAACACCUCAUUCAGAGUUAAAAUGUGUAAAAACACCCAAAAAAGCCAUCGGCUAAUGGUAUGCAAGUCUUUGUUUAACAUAUUCAUGCAGUCCGCUGAAUCACACGAGCAUGGCGGUUUGCCAAGGCUAGCUUAUCUAGCCCACCAGUGUAUCGCUACGGUUAAGCAUAGUGUAUAUUUUAGGUAUAUUUUAAGUUGCAUUACCUAAUUGUACACGCAAUUUAUUUUCAUUUUUAUAACAACUUUACAACUUACUGGUAGUUGGAGGCUGGAGCACGAAGACAUUCACUCUAAACUAUUUAUAUUAUGUACUAUCUAGAAUUUUGGCUAUUCUAUGUGUAUAUUGCAGAUGAAAACUAAAGGAAACCCUUUUUUCAUCAACUUUGUUUCGGUAUGUUUUGUGUGCGUUUGUAAUGAAAUUAUACACUUAUAUGUACUCGUACAAGUUAUGUAAUAUCUCAAGUAGGCCAUCUCAAGCCCAAGGUGUACGUAGAAUUUCAUAUACUCGUAAUAAUCUUCAUUCCCAAAACAUAUUUGAGCCGUAUUUUCUGACUUGAGGCUUACUUAGUUAUACUUUAGUUUACCAACGUAUACUUUUUCUAAAAAGUGUGUUAGGUACUAUAGCUGCGAAACGUUAAUAUAAACGAUGAAAACCAUUUCGGUUGGUUAAGUUGAAAAACUUUCCGAGCGUGUAAAAUUUCUACCUGCUUUUAUUUCUUGUUUAUCUCAGAUCUAUGUUUGUCUUAUAGAUAUGUAGUGUGAUUGAUACCAUAAGUGUAAUGAUUCGUUUUCUCUUUUAUCAUUAAGUUACUCUAUUAUUAAUAUUGCAUAUCAACACUUGAUGAAUAUUUUUCUUCUAACUUUUGUUCAUCCGAUAAUUUCUUUGUCUCUAACCUCUAAAUAUAAUUGAAAGAACCAGUCAUUUAAAUGUUAGAGGAAGAGUCCUGUGCUACUAAGACUACGCUUGAGUCUUCACUUUUAUAUUUAUCUAAUGCAAUAUAAUAGUUGAAAUAUUUAUAAUUUAUUUGCGAAUGCUGUAUGUACAACGCAUGCAUUAAGUAUGUUGAAAGCCACAGCUAAUUAGGAACGUAAUCUUGUUUACGCUCGGCUGUGAUUAGUGGAAAAAGUUUGUCGUUUGUCGCGGCUUUUAAGGUUAUGCAAGCGGUCUUAUAUGCUUCAACUUAAAUGAAAUUAAGAUUUAUGCGUGUUGAAUGCUAAGUCUGGACUCGUUUACGUACCUACUUUAAAUGUUCAUACUCUAGUUUCUAAAUAUUAAUAUUUACCCCAAGGUACUCGUAUUGCAGCGAAUAAUGAAAAAAGAUUGUGUAUAGUCAAAUACAUGUUUACAUUUUUCGUCUAGUUACAAAGCAAUAAGGUGUAAAAGUGUUAACAUAUCUUUGACGUUGACGGUACCUUUUUUAGCCAAUAAAUCGCCAUGUUUGCCCUCUCAUGCCAAAGACAUGCCUAAUUUCAUAUAAUAUCCAUUCAUUCCUGAAACACAUCUGUAGCCUUACCACGACAGUGUUAAACCGACAUAU
Cydia pomonella (codling moth) is the source of this 5446-nucleotide long non-coding RNA. RefSeq lists it as uncharacterized. Lineage: Eukaryota; Metazoa; Arthropoda; Insecta; Lepidoptera; Tortricidae. The record is from RefSeq and is a predicted model, not a curated record. The transcript has 2 exons.